AGCAGCCGCGGUAAUUCCAGCUCCAAUAGCGUAUAUUAAAGUUGUUGCAGUUAAAAAGCUCGUAGUUGAAUUUCGGGAUCAAUUCGUCGGUCGUGCUUUCGGGUACGUACUGGUGUUAUUGGUUUCUCCCUUCUGACGAACCAUGAUGUCAUUAAUUUGGUGUUAUGGGGAGUUAGGACUGUUACUUUGAAAAAAUUAGAGUGUUUAAAGCAGGCAUUAGCUUGAAUACAUUAGCAUGGAAUAAUGAAAUAGGACGUUCGAUCCUAUUUUGUUGGCUUCUAGGAUCAACGUAAUGAUUAAUAGGGAUAGUUGGGGGCAUUAGUAUUCAAUUGUCAGAGGUGAAAUUCUUGGAUUUAUUGAAGACUAACUACUGCGAAAGCAUUUGCCAAGGAUGUUUUCAUUAAUCAAGAACGAAAGUUAGGGGAUCGAAGACGAUCAGAUACCGUCGUAGUCUUAACCAUAAACUAUGCCGACUAGGGAUCGGAUGAUGUUAAUUUUUAAUGACUCAUUCGGCGCCUUA
RNAcentral lists this ribosomal RNA (520 nucleotides) under uncultured Glomus. Its description in RNAcentral is "SSU rRNA". It matches the Rfam family "Eukaryotic small subunit ribosomal RNA", at positions 569 to 1090 of the family's 1831-position model. The record is from RNAcentral. Lineage: Eukaryota; Fungi; Glomeromycota; Glomeromycetes; Glomerales; Glomeraceae.